GAAUUUUGGACAAUGGGCGAAAGCCUGAUCCAGCAAUGCCGCGUGCAGGAUGAAGGCCUUCGGGUUGUAAACUGCUUUUGUACGGAACGAAAAGCUUUGGGUUAAUACCCUGGAGUCUUGACGGUACCGUAAGAAGAAGCACCGCCUAACUACGUGCCAGAAGCCGCGGUCAUAAGUAGGGUGCAACCGUUAAUCGGAAUUACGGGGCGUAAAGCGGGCUCAGGCGGUGUUGUAUGAAAGAGGUUAAAUCCCCGGGCUCAACCUGGGAACUGCCUUUGUGACUGCGAGGCUAGAGUACGGCAGAGGGGGGUGGAAUUCCGCGUGUAGCAGUGAAAUGCGUAGAUAUGCGGAGGAACACCGAUGGCGAAGGCAACCCCCUGGGCCUGUACUGACGCUCAUGCACGAAAGCGUGGGGAGCAAACA
Molecule: ribosomal RNA, 423 nt
Filed under: uncultured bacterium
Lineage: Bacteria
Description: partial 16S ribosomal RNA
Rfam family: Bacterial small subunit ribosomal RNA
Source: RNAcentral